RNAcentral lists this ribosomal RNA (377 nucleotides) under uncultured bacterium. RNAcentral describes it as "bacterial SSU rRNA". It matches the Rfam family "Bacterial small subunit ribosomal RNA", at positions 521 to 896 of the family's 1533-position model. The record is from RNAcentral.
UAAUACAGAGGGUGCAAGCGUUAAUCGGAAUUACUGGGCGUAAAGGGCGCGUAGGUGGUUCAUUAAGUUAGGUGUGAAAUCCCUGGGCUUAACCUAGGAAUUGCAUUUAAUACUGAUGAGCUAGAGUAUGGGAGAGGUAAGUGGAAUUUCCAGUGUAGCGGUGAAAUGCGUAGAUAUUGGAAGGAACACCAGUGGCGAAGGCGACUUACUGGACCAUUACUGACACUGAGGCGCGAAAGCGUGGGGAGCGAACAGGAUUAGAUACCCUGGUAGUCCACGCCGUAAACGAUGAGAACUAGAUGUUAGGGGGCUUAGACCUCUUAGUAUCGCAGCAAACGCGUUAAGUUCUCCGCCUGGGGAGUACGGCCGCAAGGUUA